RNAcentral lists this small RNA (28 nucleotides) under Bombyx mori (domestic silkworm). Its description in RNAcentral is "ovarian small RNA-36655". Lineage: Eukaryota; Metazoa; Arthropoda; Insecta; Lepidoptera; Bombycidae. The record is from RNAcentral.
UUACUGUGACUGGCAGCGCCCCAUACUU